Molecule: non-coding RNA, 100 nt
Organism: Acanthosepion pharaonis
Lineage: Eukaryota; Metazoa; Mollusca; Cephalopoda; Sepiida; Sepiidae
Source: the annotation of a GenBank genome assembly
CGUUAAAACACCCGUUCCCGUAUGAUCACUGAAGUUAAGCAGUGUCAAGCCUGGUAAGUAACUAGAUGAGUGACCACAUGGAAAUACCAGAUGCUGUAAG